UUGGCGUGUGGCUUCGUUUGCAGAUCGUC
Molecule: non-coding RNA, 29 nt
Filed under: Rattus norvegicus (Norway rat)
Lineage: Eukaryota; Metazoa; Chordata; Mammalia; Rodentia; Muridae
Source: RNAcentral